UACGUAGGUGGCAAGCGUUGUCCGGAUUUAUUGGGUUUAAAGGGUGCGUAGGCGGCUUUGUAAGUCAGUGGUGAAAUAUGGCAGCUUAACUGUCAAGGUGCCAUUGAUACUGCGGAGCUUGAGUACAGAUGAGGUAGGCGGAAUUGGCGGUGUAGCGGUGAAAUGCUUAGAUAUCGGCAAGAACACCUAUAGCGAAGGCAGCUUACUAGGCUGUAACUGACGCUGAGGCACGAAAGUGUGGGGAUCAAACAGG
RNAcentral lists this ribosomal RNA (253 nucleotides) under uncultured bacterium. RNAcentral's name for it is "partial 16S ribosomal RNA". It matches the Rfam family "Bacterial small subunit ribosomal RNA", at positions 524 to 776 of the family's 1533-position model. The record is from RNAcentral.